UAAGCUGCGUCUCUGACACUCAGUCUACAGAAAUCGCGCAUUUUGCGUAUGCCUUCUCCCCAGCCACAGAACUCCAGUGUACUGUGUCUUCUACACUGAAGCAGCAGAACUGCUGAGAACUGGCUCUCUCUACAUCCAGCUUAUGGAACUACAGGAAGCUGUACAGCACUCCUGCCUGAGUGCAGGAGACAGUUUACGGGAGUUCUGUGUCUUGGGAGAAGUUAUACACAGUAGGUGUGAUUUCUUUAGCUUGACUGUAGGAGACGCAGCUUCCUGUAGUUCCAUAAACUGGAUGUAGAGAGAGGCAGUUUACUGCAGUUCUGCAGCCUCAUUGUAGGAGACAGUUUACCGGAGUUCUGUAGCAUACGAGUUGCCAUACGCAGUAUGCAGGAUUACUGUUGCCUUUGUGGAGAUGCAGCUUAUAGUAUUUCUGUAAACUAGACAUAGAGAGCGGCAUUGUACAGCAGUUCUGCAUCCUGACUGUAGUUCACACAGUUUCUGUGAGUUCUGUAGCUUCUGAGUAGGCAUAGGCACUAUGCAGGAUUUCUGUAGCGUGAGUGUAGGAGAAACAGCUUGCAGGAGUUCUGUACCAUGGAUGCAGAGAGACGCAGUUUGCAGGAGUUCUGAAGGCUGAGGUUAGGAGACACAGAUUAUAGGAGUUCUAUAGCCUGGGAUUUGGCAAACGCAGCAUGCAGUUUUGCUGUAGCUAGAGUGUAGGAGGCACAGCUUCCUGUAGUUCCAUAAGCUGGAUGUAGAGAGAGCCAGUUUUCAGCAGUUCUGCAGCUUCAGUGUCGAAAACCCACUUUAGUGGAGUUCUGUGGCUAAGGAGAAGGCAUACGCAAUAUGCGGGAUUUCUGUAGACUGAGUGUCAGAGACGCAGCUUACAGGAGUUCUGUAAGCUUGGCAAGAAGAGAAGCAGUUCACAGGACUAUUGCAGCCUGAGUGCAGGAGACAGUUUACGGGAGUUCUGUAUCUUGGGAGAAGAUAUACACAGUAGUUGUGAUUUCUUUAGCUGGACGGUAGGAGACGCAGCUUCCUGUAGUUCCUUGAACUGGAUUUACGAGAGGCAGUUUUCAGCAGUUCUGCAGCUUCAGUGUCGAAAACCCACUUUAGUGGAGUUCUGUGGCUAAGGAGAAGGCAUACGCAAUAUGCGGGAUUUCUGUAGACUGAGUGUCAGAGACGCAGCUUACAGGAGUUCUGUAAGCUUACCAACUCCUG
Oryctolagus cuniculus (rabbit) is the source of this 1218-nucleotide non-coding RNA. The record is from RefSeq and is a predicted model, not a curated record. NCBI's taxonomy places the organism in Eukaryota, Metazoa, Chordata, Mammalia, Lagomorpha, Leporidae.